This 1437-nucleotide ribosomal RNA is filed under the name metagenome. Its description in RNAcentral is "bacterial LSU rRNA". It matches the Rfam family "Bacterial large subunit ribosomal RNA", at positions 1504 to 2925 of the family's 2925-position model. The record is from RNAcentral.
GUCCACGUCCAAGGGUGUAGGGAGUGAGAUAGGCAAAUCCGUCUCACACAUAUCCUGAGACCUGAUAGUGACCGCGAAUGCGGGAAGCAGGGUGAUCCUAUGCUGCCAAGAAAAUCUUCUAGCGAGGUUCGAGCCGCCCGUACCCCAAACCGACUCAGGUGGUUAGGUAGAGAAUACCAAGGCGAUCGAGUGAAUCGUGGUUAAGGAAUUCGGCAAAAUGCCCCCGUAACUUCGGGAGAAGGGGGGCCCAGACUCUGAAGUCACUUGCUGACUAGGGGAAAGGGCCGCAGAGACCAGGGAGAAGCGACUGUUUACUAAAAACACAGGUCCGUGCGAAGUCGCAAGACGAUGUAUACGGACUGACGCCUGCCCGGUGCUGGAAGGUUAAGAGGACGGGUUAGAUCUUCGGGUCGAAGCUCAGAAUUUAAGCCCCAGUAAACGGCGGUGGUAACUAUAACCAUCCUAAGGUAGCGAAAUUCCUUGUCGGGUAAGUUCCGACCUGCACGAAUGGCGUAACGACUUCUCCACUGUCUCAACCGCGAACUCGGCGAAAUUGCACUACGAGUAAAGAUGCUCGUUACGCGCAGCAGGACGGAAAGACCCCGGGACCUUCACUAUAGCUUGGUAUUGGUGUUCGGGACGGCUUGUGUAGGAUAGGUGGGAGACUUUGAAGCCGGCACGCCAGUGUCGGUGGAGUCAACGUUGAAAUACCACUCUGGUCGUUCUGGAUGUCUAACCUCGGUCCGUGAUCCGGAUCAGGGACAGUGCCUGGUGGGUAGUUUAACUGGGGCGGUUGCCUCCUAAAAGGUAACGGAGGCGCUCAAAGGUUCCCUCAGCCUGGUUGGCAAUCAGGUGUCGAGUGUAAGUGCACAAGGGAGCUUGACUGCGAGAGAGACAUCUCGAGCAGGGACGAAAUUCGGAACUAGUGACCCGGCGGUGGCUUGUGGAAGCGCCGUCGCUCAACGGAUAAAAGGUACCCCGGGGAUAACAGGCUGAUCUUGCCCAAGAGUCCAUAUCGACGGCAUGGUUUGGCACCUCGAUGUCGGCUCGUCGCAUCCUUGGGGUGGAGUCGCUCCCAAGGGUUGGGCUGUUCGCCCAUUAAAGCGGUACGCGAGCUGGGUUUAGAACGUCGUGAGACAGUUCUGUCCCUAUCCGCUGUGCGCGUAGGAAACUUGAGAAAGGCUGACCCUAGUACGAGAGGACCGGGUUGGACGAACCUCUGGUGUGUCAGUUGUUCUGCCAAGAGCACCGCUGAUUAGCUACGUUCGGAAGUGAUAACCGCUGAAAGCAUCUAAGCGGGAAGCACGUUUCAAGAUGAGGUUUCCAUGGGGCUUGCCCCGAGAGGCUCCCGGCUAGACUACCGGGUUGAUAGGCCAGACGUGGAAGUGCAGUAAUGCAUGUAGCUGACUGGUACUAAUAAGCCGAUAACUUGAUACC